This 351-nucleotide ribosomal RNA is filed under the name uncultured Glomus. RNAcentral describes it as "partial 28S ribosomal RNA". Lineage: Eukaryota; Fungi; Glomeromycota; Glomeromycetes; Glomerales; Glomeraceae. The record is from RNAcentral.
GUGAAAUUGUUGAAAGGGAAACGAUUAAAGUCAGUCGUACUAACGGGGAAUCAACCUUUUGAGGGUGGAAUUGUGGGAUUCAACCUGCUUUUUUUGGGUGCACUUUCUCGUAUUGUAGGUCAGCAUCGGUUUCGAUCGUUGUAAAAUGACUGGAGGAAUGUAGCUUUGAUCUCGUAUUGAAGUGUUAUAGCCUUUGGUAGAUGUAACGGUUGGGAUCGAGGAUUGCAAUGAAUACCCUUAUGGGCUGUCACUCUGGUGCCGAUAGCUUGCUUACGGUAUUAUUAGUGUACGGUCAAAAGGCUAGAACGGAUUAAAUUCGUUAAGGAUAUUGACGUAAUGGCUUUAAACGAC